RNAcentral lists this ribosomal RNA (412 nucleotides) under uncultured bacterium. Its description in RNAcentral is "partial 16S ribosomal RNA". It matches the Rfam family "Bacterial small subunit ribosomal RNA", at positions 360 to 773 of the family's 1533-position model. The record is from RNAcentral.
AAUAUUGCGCAAUGGAGGGAACUCUGACGCAGCGACGCCGCGUGAGCGAUGAAGGUCNNNGGAUCNUAAAGCUCUGUCCUUGGNGAANAAGGGAGCCGUAAGGCUUCUUGACGGUACCCAUGGAGGAAGCCCCGGCUAACUACGUGCCAGCAGCCGCGGUAAUACGUAGGGGGCAAGCGUUGUCCGGAUUUACUGGGUUUAAAGGGUACGUAGGCGGACUUUUAAGUCAGGGGUGAAAUCCCGAGGCUCAACCUCGGAACUGCCUUUGAAACUACUAGUCUUGAAUUAUGUUGAGGUUGGCGGAAUACAACAUGUAGCGGUGAAAUGCAUAGAUAUGUUGUGGAACACCGAUUGCGAAGGCAGCUGACUGAACAUAUAUUGACGCUGAGGUACGAAAGCGUGGGGAUCAAAC